UGAGUUUGAUCCUGGCUCAGGACGAACGCUGGCGGCGUGCUUAACACAUGCAAGUCGAACGGGCUUAGUGUAGCAAUAUGCUAAGUUAGUGGCGAACGGGUGAGUAACACGUGACCAAUCUGCCCCGGACUGGGGAACAACGGAGGGAAACUUCCGCUAAUACCGCAUAUUGAGCGUGGCCCACAUGGGCUGUGCUUGAAAGCUUCGGCGGUCCGGGAUGAGGUCGCGCCCCAUUAGCUUGUUGGCGGGGUAACAGCCCACCAAGGCGACGAUGGGUAGCUGGUCUGAGAGGACGAUCAGCCACACUGGGACUGAGAUACGGCCCAGACUCCUAUGGGAGGCAGCAGUGAGGAAUAUUGCGCAAUGGACGAAAGUCUGACGCAGCAACGCCGCGUGAGGGAUGAAGGUGCUCUGCAUUGUAAACCUCUGUAGGGAGGGACGAAUCGCCCGGUGUUCCGGGCAUUGACGGUACCUCUAAAGUAAGCACCGGCUAACUCCGUGCCAGCAGCCGCGGUAAUACGGAGGGUGCAAGCGUUGUCCGGAUUUACUGGGUGUAAAGGGCGCGUAGGCGGGGGAUCAUGUCGGAAGUGAAAUCGUACGGCUUAACCGUAGCAAUUGCUUCCGAAACGGGUCCUCUUGAAUGCAGGAGAGGCAGAUGGAAUUCCUGGUGUAGCGGUGGAAUGCGUAGAUAUCAGGAAGAACACCGGUGGCGAAGGCGGUCUGCUGGCCUGUGAUUGACGCUGAGGCGCGAAAGUGUGGGGAGCAAACAGGAUUAGAUACCCUGGUAGUCCACACCGUAAACGAUGGUCACUAGAUGUCGGAGGAUUCGACCCCUUUCGGUAUCGACGCUAACGCAUUAAGUGACCCACCUGGGGAGUACGCCCGCAAGGGUGAAACUCAAAGGAAUUGACGGGGGCCCGCACAAGCGGUGGAGCAUGUGGUUUAAUUCGAUGCAACGCGAAGAACCUUACCUGGGCUCGAAGCGUGGUGUAAACCCAUGAAAGUGGGGUAUCCCUUCGGGGAGCGCCACGUAGGUGCUGCAUGGCUGUCGUCAGCUCGUGUCGUGAGAUGUUAGGUUAAGUCCUGCAACGAGCGCAACCCUUGUCCUUAGUUGCCAACAGGUCAAGCUGGGAACUCUAAGGAGACUGCCGCCGUUAAGGCGGAGGAAGGUGGGGAUGACGUCAAGUCAUCAUGGCCCUUAUGGGUAGGGCUACACACGUGCUACAAUGGCCGGUACAAAGGGAAGCGAAGUCGCGAGACGGAGCGAAUCCUCAGAGGCCGGUCGUAGUCCGGAUUGGAGUCUGCAACUCGACUCCAUGAAGUCGGAAUCGCUAGUAAUCGUGGAUCAGCAUGCCACGGUGAAUACGUUCCCGGGCCUUGUACACACCGCCCGUCACGCCAUGGGAGUGGGUUGUACCAGAAGUCAGUUGGCUAACCGAAAGGAGGCCGCUGACCACGGUAUGGUUCAUGACUGGGGUGAAGUCGUAACAAGGUAGCCGUAGGGGAACCUGCGGCUGGAUCACCUCCUUUCU
Molecule: ribosomal RNA, 1532 nt
Filed under: uncultured bacterium
Lineage: Bacteria
Description: bacterial SSU rRNA
Rfam family: Bacterial small subunit ribosomal RNA
Source: RNAcentral